AGUGAACGCUGGCGGUAGGCCUAACACAUGCAAGUCGAACGGCAGCACAGUAAGAGCUUGCUCUUACGGGUGGCGAGUGGCGGACGGGUGAGGAAUACAUCGGAAUCUACUUUUUCGUGGGGGAUAACGUAGGGAAACUUACGCUAAUACCGCAUACGACCUACGGGUGAAAGCAGGGGAUCUUCGGACCUUGCGCGAUUGAAUGAGCCGAUGUCGGAUUAGCUAGUUGGCGGGGUAAAGGCCCACCAAGGCGACGAUCCGUAGCUGGUCUGAGAGGAUGAUCAGCCACACUGGAAGUGAGACACGGUCCAGACUCCUACGGGAGGCAGCAGUGUGGAAUAUUGGACAAUGGGCGCAAGCCUGAUCCAGCCAUACCGCGUGGGUGAAGAAGGCCUUCGGGUUGUAAAGCCCUUUUGUUGGGAAAGAAAAGCAGCAGGUUAAUACCCCGCUGUUCUGACGGUACCCAAAGAAUAAGCACCGGCUAACUUCGUG
This 492-nucleotide ribosomal RNA is filed under the name uncultured bacterium. RNAcentral describes it as "partial 16S ribosomal RNA". It matches the Rfam family "Bacterial small subunit ribosomal RNA", at positions 29 to 507 of the family's 1533-position model. The record is from RNAcentral.